UACUAGUAUUCCAACACUGGCAGUAAAUAUUUUAUCUAUUACCCCCUGAUAACGCAUUACUGUUACGAAAAGAACCUCUUUGUCUUCUGUGUUCUAAAAAGAUCAAUACCCAAAAAGAUACCAGUUAUAUUAAGCGUUCCAUUCCAAUAAUUGUCACUUUUGGAAGUUAUAACACCGGUUACCGUUGCAAUAUCUGGCGACGUGCUUACAUAAUUAAUACUUAAAUUUUCCACAUUUUUUGAAUUGAUAACAACGAAGAAUGGAAUUGUCUUUGUUUCUUCCAUUGUUACACUGAUAGAACUGGUUGUUACAUUUACAGACCAUUCUUCUACGAUAGAUUGUUCUGCCAAGAUUCGAUGUAAAAAAAAGAACCAUGUUAUGAGGAUGAGCAUCCUUAAUAAAAUGUGAUUGAUGUGCUGUGUGACAAAGCAUAUAAUUACAAUUAUAAUUAAAAAUUGUAGAUCUUAAUAGAAGUAAAAUGUGAAAAGUUUAUCAGUAUUAGUGAACGUAUUCGUGUCAAGUUGUGGUCAAUAUAUAAAAAAAGGAAGAAGAUAAAAAAACAUUAAGAUUAAUGUCUCACCUGUUUAAUUAAAUGUAGAAUGAAAGAGAUUGUAAGAACACUAAGGUCCUACUUGAUAAAUGUUCUUUACUUUCUUUGGAAAAAAAAUGGUAAUACUGUAUUGUCUUACACCGCAUGAUUAUAUCUAAAUUCCAGUGAUCUUGAUGAUGCAAGCUAACAGUAAAUAAUUUGCGCCUCUGGUCACGUAUUUUGCGUAUCAGUUUCUAUCAGAUUAAUUAAAGAUUCUACAAAGUUUUUAA
Molecule: long non-coding RNA, 819 nt
Filed under: Polistes fuscatus (common paper wasp)
Lineage: Eukaryota; Metazoa; Arthropoda; Insecta; Hymenoptera; Vespidae
Description: uncharacterized LOC122518977, transcript variant X2
Source: RNAcentral